Molecule: unclassified non-coding RNA, 545 nt
Filed under: Hevea brasiliensis (rubber tree)
Lineage: Eukaryota; Viridiplantae; Streptophyta; Magnoliopsida; Malpighiales; Euphorbiaceae
Source: RNAcentral
GUUUCUGGAAACUCUCCCACCAACUCAUCAUCUUUCAGAGCUGAUGGCACUUGACUAGUACUAGAAACCUGUGGCUGUGAUGAAGCUGAAGAAGAAGAAGCAGAUGAUCCAGGGAGUGACACUGACGACCUGUUCUGGUUUGACGAUGACGAUGAAGACCCUGUAGAACCUCUCUGGACAAGUAUCCUUGUCAUUUUUGCUGCCCUUCUUCAACUAGAGACCCACAGAACAAUCACUCUGCCUUGACCCAAAUUAGAGAAACACUUUCAAUUUAUCUCGCUUUCUGGCCUUUGGGGCGGUCACACCAAUACCUUUACUGAAUGAUUUCUUGCAGCAACUUACUUCCCUUUGAUCCUCGCGAGCUACUUUCUGCAUUCCCCUAAAAAUUCUCAUGAGAACUUCACUUCCAAAACUCUUUUUUGAAACAACAAGGCCUGUUCUCUUUAUGUUCCUUGAAAUUUCCCAAAAGUAAGCCACAACCUUAAAGCAAUAGAAAACCCUCGAGGCGAAUUACUGUGUAAUGAAACCGAAUUGAAGCAGAAAUU